Molecule: transfer RNA, 74 nt
Filed under: Gynuella sunshinyii YC6258
Lineage: Bacteria; Pseudomonadati; Pseudomonadota; Gammaproteobacteria; Oceanospirillales; Saccharospirillaceae
Rfam family: tRNA
About the family: Transfer RNA (tRNA) molecules are approximately 80 nucleotides in length.
Source: Rfam by way of RNAcentral
GCGCCCGUAGCUCAACUGGAUAGAGCAACGGCCUUCUAAGCCGUAGGUUGCAGGUUCGAGCCCUGCCGGGUGCG